GGUUUUCUGGUUUGUGUGGAGAGGCUGAGACAAUCAUGGAUGGUGUGAUGGAUCGUAUGAAGAUCCUAUUUGAUAAGAGGCCGAGCCAUUCAAAUACCUACUUUCAUGAACCUGUAGCAUCACGGUCGCUUGCUUUACAAAUUGAUCUUAAUUACCCUUCAUCUAAUACCCUUUAGCAGCAGCUUGGGAUGGUGACGUUUUGUACUACUUGUGCUUAUGUCUACAUUUUUAACUAGGGAUAUUAUGUUUUUUAGCUGCUAUUUUACUUAGAUUUAAGACUCAUAUGAAUUUAUGUUUGUGAUGUCUCUGAUUAUGAUACUUACCUUGAAAGGCCUUAAUAGUUUUUGUAAUUAAGUCUA
Molecule: long non-coding RNA, 359 nt
Organism: Helianthus annuus (common sunflower)
Lineage: Eukaryota; Viridiplantae; Streptophyta; Magnoliopsida; Asterales; Asteraceae
Exons: 2
Source: RefSeq, a predicted model, not a curated record